Molecule: transfer RNA, 57 nt
Filed under: Camelus bactrianus (Bactrian camel)
Lineage: Eukaryota; Metazoa; Chordata; Mammalia; Artiodactyla; Camelidae
Also listed under: 1 other name
Rfam family: tRNA
About the family: Transfer RNA (tRNA) molecules are approximately 80 nucleotides in length.
Source: Rfam by way of RNAcentral
UAGCUCAGUGGUAGAGCACGUGCUUAGUGUGCGUGAGGUCCUGGGUUCAAUUCCCAG